This is an RNA transcript of Magnolia sinica, 3011 nucleotides long. RefSeq lists it as uncharacterized. The record is from RefSeq and is a predicted model, not a curated record. Lineage: Eukaryota; Viridiplantae; Streptophyta; Magnoliopsida; Magnoliales; Magnoliaceae. The transcript has 4 exons.
UACUCUGUUGUUUCCAUUUUUUGUUGGUGUGUCCUAAUUGAGUGUUUGAUGUUCUUAUUUAUUAUUAUUAUGCUUUAUUGUUUUAUUUUGAAACAGAUGGACGGAAUGGAUUCUAUUAGUAACCUCUGAGUGGACCCCACAUGGCUCGAGAGCCACGUUACUGUAUAUACCGCAGACUACCGAAUAUUUUUCUUCAUUUCCUUACCCCAAAACGCCCUAAAUCCCUCAUUUCCUUACGCCAUCGCCAUUUGCGUCUCCCUCUCCCUCUCCCUCUCCCAAUCUCCCUCGAUCUCCCUCUCCCGAUCUCAACCCUCUCUCUCGAUCUCCCUCUCACUCUCGCUCCCUCUCCCUCAAUCUCCCUCUCCCUCGAUCUCCCUCUCCGUCUUCCGAUCUCAACCCUCUCUCUCUCGAUCUCCCUCUCCCUCGAUCUCCCUCUCACUCUGCCUCCCUCUCUUGAUCUCCCUCUCCCGAUCUCCCUCUCCCUGCAACAUCCCUCUCCCUGCAUUUCCUCUCAUAUGAAAGAUGUAGUCGUGCAUUUGAAUCUGUGGAAGAAGGUAUCUGUACAGGAGAGAUUUGCUUCUUGCAUCAGAGUUCAAUAUCAUGAAUGAUUAUAUGCCAUCAGGUUUGUCAAUUCAAGAGUUCAAUAUCAUGUUGUUUAUCUAUUGAUCGUUUGGCCUAAAACAUCAGAUUGCUUGAUGGGUUUUGAUUUUUAAGCUUUUUCUGAAAAAUUUUCCACUGACAAUCAUGUGAGUUGUAAAAUCUUAUGAUCAGUUUCAGUGUCCUGCCUUCAUCACUCUUUUCUGGAUAAUAUCAUUAUCUGGAGGGUUGGCCAUUCCUUCUGAGUUGGAUUUGGACUUUGGUGUGCUGUUAUUAUGGUUUUUUUUUUCUUUAUUAAUAGCUUUUGUUUCUAUGAUCUUUAAUAAAUUUGCAGAUUAUUGAAUCUCUGAUAAAUGGGGUGGUUUUAUCUGAAGAGGAGGCAGAAGCUUCUCUUGAUUUUUUACCGAGUGAAGCUAAUGAAGUUUUGAUCAGUGCUUUUCUUGUUCUUUUGAGAGCCAAAGGAGAGUCAUUCGAAGAAGUUGUGGGAUUGGCGAGGGCAAUGUUCAAAUGCUGUAGGAAGGUUGAAGGAAUGACUGAUGUGGUUGAUAUUGUUGGAAUGGGAGGUGAUGGGACAAACACGAUUAACAUAUCAACAAGGGCUUGUAUUCUAGCUGUUGCCUCUGGUGCAAAAAUUGCCAAGCAAGGAAAUAGAUCCAGUUCUCCUGGAUGUGUAGGAUUCCUCUGUGGGUGUCUAUCUUUAUUUGAAUAUGAAUAAGAAGCGUUGUUGCAGAUGUAUGAGAUGCCUUCAGCAAGUGAAACAGGAGUACUACCUAGUGAAGAACAAGCUUGAAUCUUUAUUCGGGGUAAGGAGAUUUCCUUCUAAUGUGUGAUUUUAUUUUCCUACCACUCUCUGUUUUUACAUAAAUUCUACGUUCAUAAUUUAUUAUUACUUUUAUUUUUACAGGCCUGUAGCUACUAAGGUAAAUCAUUGAAUUAUAUGAGAGAUUUCUUAUUCCUUGUAAAUUUGUUUCUCUAAUAUGUACAGUUUUGUUUUUAGUUCUAGUUUUUAAGUGUGUCUGUGUUCCUUCAUUUGGCUUGACAAUGAAAGCUUGAAGGAUAUGUUGUUGUAAAGUAUGCUCUCAAUGUAAUAUUUUUUCCCACGUGGUUGAGAAUUUUCCAAUGCCAUUGAUCUUGCUAUUGAUGUUGUUGUUCUCUGUCUGCAGCAUCCUGAACAUAUUAAAAACUUGAUUUUGGUGGGUCCUGCUGGAUUUUCAUCAGAGUCAGAUGGUAAGUCAGAGUGGCUAACAACUGAAACUUUUACUUUCAUGAUUUCAAGUAAUCCUUCUUUACGAUUUGCAAAAAAGGCACUUGAGGCUCAGCCGUGUUUCUUUCUUAUGGUGUGAUGCGAUGCCAUGAAAAUCCCCAUUGGAGUGAUUCCAUGUGAUUAUCCCUUUAAUAGAUCAAUGGUCUAGACAACUGAAACUUCUACUUUCAUGAUUUCACUGAAUUUGAAUUUGAUACCUUUUUUAUUUUGUACUCAUGGCAGUUCAUGUACACCACCAGUUCAUGUGUCCCAAAUGGCCAGGAAAUCAGGCAGCUCUGCUAGCCAUGUGGCUCACAAUGAUAAUCAGGUGAGAUAGCUUGACCAUACAUGCUUGAAGUUCCUCUUCAAAUGAAUUUUUACUAUUAUUAUUACUGUUUGUGCAUGGCACAACGACUUUUACUUCAAAUGCCCUUUUUCAAAUUGAGCUUCUACUUCAAGGUGACCAUUUCAAAUUGAACAAACAACGACUUUUAAUACCUGAGCCAGUUGCACUCCAAAAUCUAGUUUUAAUUCCUUGUUUGGGAAUUACGUUUUUCCUUUACUUUUUCUGCAGCUAAACCUCAACCAGAAGUAUAUAGUUGAAUACCGAUUUAUGGUUAGUUUUGGCUCCUUAUUUGGGCUUCUAGAUCUUACUUACACCAUUCAUUUCUAUCAGCUCCCCAGUUGCUUGACCGGAUGCGAGUAUCCAUACAUCUUCAUUUUAUUGGUCUUUAUAGUAAAAACAAAAUUAGUGAUUGGUGUUAGUCCACUAGAUCAAUCCUUUCCUUGUUCUAAUGUUGAAUCGUAACAAGGUGUGAUUUUAUAUAAACAGAUGGAUUGAUGGAAAAAUAUGUAUUGUUUCCUUUUCAUAUUGAUGGAAAAAUAUGCAAGUCUUGCUGAACUCAAUCAGCCAACCUAGUUUUUGCUUGGGGCAUGUAAGUAUCUGACAUCAGAUACUUGGAUGUAAUUGACUUGGAUCCAAUCUACUAACUCCAUGCAUUUUGAAGUUCAACUGUGAUAAUAUCAGGACGUGAUACUGUUUUAUCUGUGAUACUGAUAAAAGAAAUCAUGAUAUGAUACUGAUAAGCUGUUCCAAUAUUUAUCUGUGAUAUGGCUGCUGGCAUCUUUGAUUUUACUAAGCUGAAUUAAGAGGUAUUUUAGUUUUUUGUUC